Molecule: ribosomal RNA, 31 nt
Filed under: Volkameria linifolia
Lineage: Eukaryota; Viridiplantae; Streptophyta; Magnoliopsida; Lamiales; Lamiaceae
Also listed under: 1 other name
Description: partial 18S ribosomal RNA
Source: RNAcentral
CGUAGGUGAACCUGCGGAAGGAUCAUUGUCG